This is a long non-coding RNA of Xenopus laevis (African clawed frog), 703 nucleotides long. RefSeq lists it as uncharacterized. The record is from RefSeq and is a predicted model, not a curated record. Lineage: Eukaryota; Metazoa; Chordata; Amphibia; Anura; Pipidae. The transcript has 3 exons.
UUUAAUUGAGGUAAAAUAAAUGUUGCUAUCAGAAGUCACAAUGGAGAAUACCGGUGGCAAAGCUAAAGGGUCUCUCUUUACACAUUAACUUCCUUGCCCUCUCUUUGGAUAAAACACUGGACAAUAUGUAUUUCAGACAUGAAAGGAGAUGAGUGAUGUUUUAUUACUUUUCUCAUGUGGAUAGCUUAGCAGAGCUUUCAACUGUUCUUUGCCAUAACGUGCUUUUGCAAGUUAUUUUCUGCUGUGGAUCUUUGGAUGCUGCACCAGCCCACAAGGAGAUGUGACUUGAAUUCCAAUGAAGACCAAGCUUAGGAAAAGUAAAAAGCUGUUAUUAUUUUGGAUGAAACCCCAUAAGGUCUUAUGAUCAGACUGGGAAACUGGGGAUGACUACAGGAAUUCUCUUGUUUGACAGAUGUUCUGCAAGUCCAUGGGCCUCUGUAAAUGGCUGGUCAAUUCAACACCUUUUUUACUUAGUGACACAGAAAAAAGUGACUGAUGGAUGAUUCUAACAAGCCUAAGACUUUAAGCCCUCAGCGCAAGAGUUUACAUCAGGUUCUUCACAGAAGGAAAAACCAUUUAAUCCUUGAAAACUGUUAAAAACUUCCCAGAAGACAGAAAAAAUACAACCUUAUACAGUGCAUGUGUAUGUUAUUUAUUUUUCCAAAUGUUGGCCUUGCUGGAUAAUAAACUAAGACACUAUGAA